RNAcentral lists this ribosomal RNA (497 nucleotides) under uncultured bacterium. Its description in RNAcentral is "partial 16S ribosomal RNA". It matches the Rfam family "Bacterial small subunit ribosomal RNA", at positions 28 to 507 of the family's 1533-position model. The record is from RNAcentral.
GAUGAACGCUGGCGGCGUGCCUAAUACAUGCAAGUCGAGCGAACAGACGAGGCGCUUGCUCCUCUGACGUUAGCGGCGGACGGGUGAGUAACACGUGGAUAACCUACCUAUAAGACUGGGAUAACUUCGGGAAACCGGAGCUAAUACCGGAUAAUAUAUUGAACCGCAUGGUUCAAUAGUGAAAGACGGCUUUGCUGUCACUUAUAGAUGGAUCCGCGCCGCAUUAGCUAGUUGGUAAGGUAACGGGUUACCAAGGCAACGAUGCGUAGCCGACCUGAGAGGGUGAUCGGCCACACUGGAACUGAGACAGGGUCCAGACUCCUACGAGAGGCAGCAGUAGGGAAUCUUCCGCAAUGGGCGAAAGCCUGACGGAGCAACGCCGCGUGAGUGAUGAAGGUCUUCGGAUCGUAAAACUCUGUUAUUAGGGAAGAACAAAUGUGUAAGUAACUAUGCACGUCUUGACGGUACCUAAUCAGAAAGCCACGGCUAACUACGUG